This 396-nucleotide ribosomal RNA is filed under the name uncultured bacterium. Its description in RNAcentral is "partial 16S ribosomal RNA". It matches the Rfam family "Bacterial small subunit ribosomal RNA", at positions 338 to 731 of the family's 1533-position model. The record is from RNAcentral.
CCUACGGGAGGCAGCAGUGAGGAAUAUUGGUCAAUGGACGCAAGGCUGAACCAGCCAAGCCGCGUGCAGGACGCAGGCUCCAUGCAUUGUAAACUUCUUUUGUCCAAGGACAAAUCCCGACACGUGUACCGGACUGAAAGUAUCGUACGAAAAAGGAUCGGCUAACUCCGUGCCAGCAGCCGCGGUAAUACGGAGGAUUCAAGCGUUAUCCGGAUUUAUUGGGUUUAAAGGGUGCGUAGGCGGGUCGUUUAGUUAGCGGUGAAAUCCCGGGGCUCAACCCCGGCACUGCCUCUGAUACUGUCGGGCUAGAGAUGUGUUGCGGUAGGCGGAAUGUAUGGUGUAGCGGUGAAAUGCAUAGAUAUUAUACAGAACACCGAUUGCGAAGGCAGCAUACCA